This 234-nucleotide ribosomal RNA is filed under the name uncultured bacterium. RNAcentral describes it as "partial 16S ribosomal RNA". It matches the Rfam family "Bacterial small subunit ribosomal RNA", at positions 96 to 334 of the family's 1533-position model. The record is from RNAcentral.
UGGCGGACGGGUGAGUAAUGUCUGGGAAACUGCCCGAUGGAGGGGGAUAACUACUGGAAACGGUAGCUAAUACCGCAUAACGUCGCAAGACCAAAGAGGGGACCUUCGGGCCUCUUGCCAUCGGAUGUGCCCAGAUGGGAUUAGCUAGUAGGUGGGGUAACGGCCCACCUAGGCGACGAUCCCUAGCUGGUCUGAGAGGAUGACCAGCCACACUGGAACUGAGACACGGUCCAG